UAGGGAAUCUUCGGCAAUGGACGAAAGUCUGACCGAGCAACGCCGCGUGAGUGAAGAAGGUUUUCGGAUCGUAAAACUCUGUUGUUAGAGAAGAACAAGGACGUUAGUAACUGAACGUCCCCUGACGGUAUCUAACCAGAAAGCCACGGCUAACUACGUGCCAGCAGCCGCGGUAAUAAGUAGGUGGCAAGCGUUGUCCGGCUUUAUUGGGCGUAAAGCUAGCGCAGGCGGUUUCUUAAGUCUGAUGUGAAAGCCCCCGGCUCAACCGGGGAGGGUCAUUGGAAACUGGGGGACUUGAGUGCAGAAGAGGAGAGUGGAAUUCCAUGUGUAGCGGUGAAAUGCGUAGAUAUAUGAAGGAACACCAGUGGCGAAGGCGGCUCUCUGGUCUGUAACUGACGCUGAGGCUCGAAAGCGUGGGGAGCAAACAGG
RNAcentral lists this ribosomal RNA (429 nucleotides) under Gemmatimonadota bacterium. RNAcentral describes it as "Gemmatimonadetes bacterium partial 16S ribosomal RNA". It matches the Rfam family "Bacterial small subunit ribosomal RNA", at positions 355 to 776 of the family's 1533-position model. Lineage: Bacteria; Pseudomonadati; Gemmatimonadota. The record is from RNAcentral.